RNAcentral lists this long non-coding RNA (231 nucleotides) under Sorghum bicolor (sorghum). RNAcentral's name for it is "long non-coding RNA (SBIC_LNC004178)". The record is from RNAcentral. Lineage: Eukaryota; Viridiplantae; Streptophyta; Magnoliopsida; Poales; Poaceae.
AUAAACCUUUGACAUAGACCCAACAGGUCCAUAUGUAGUUCCAGGCGCUGGAGGUGGAUUAGCAGAGGAAUCCUUGACUAGAGUGUAUUGUGGACGCAGAUCAGAAGAUGGCAGAUAUGGAGGCAUAGGAGUAACAGGGAAACUGUGAGGAUAUGGAGCGACUGGCACAUCGGCAAGUGAUGAUGCUGAAAUACUAUAGUUUGGAGUACCCAUCGGAUGAUCAAACUUGCA